CCCGGAGGGGCCUUCCGGCAACUUUUUGGUUGGUGCCGCCCCGCCCAGGCCCCUUUUAAACUUGAUCUCCGCAGUGCCCUCCCUUUUCGGCCGCGGCGCGUGACUGGGCUUGGUGGAGUUUCAAGAUGCUGAUGAACUUAAGGUCUGGCGCUUGAAAGAAUCAGUGAAGCUUUUCAAGUAGAGGAGUACUCUACUUUGAAGAAAGGAAUGGAACAGAAGGUGUCUGCAUAACUAAAUGGGGAUCUAGAGAAAGUGGAGACUGCCUCUGGAGCAGGGAGGUUCUAGAUGAAUGACUGAUGAAGACACAACAGCACGGUGGUGAGGCCAUUGAAUGCUUCUAAGACUGCACUUGGCAACAUCACAAGCUGCAGAAUCCCGUGCCACAUAUGACCUGCUGUUCACCGGUUCUUGCCAGGAUCACACCUGAGAAGAGGAAGAUAAUGGAGAUGGAAGACUUGGGAUGCUCAGGGUCCUGCUAGCCUUCAAACUGCAGGACUCUGAGCAUCCCAAGUCUUACCAUGAGUUGCUAAAAGAGAACCAGACCCAUGUUUAUCCCUUUGAAAGAAACCUGAACCAAGCCAUUCCUCUGGACUGUUCUUCCAUCCACUGGACCAAUAACUCAUAGUUUGAAGGAUUUUUACUUAAUGGAAGUGAGAAAACA
This 661-nucleotide long non-coding RNA is filed under the name Homo sapiens (human). RNAcentral's name for it is "HSALNT0339635". The record is from RNAcentral. Lineage: Eukaryota; Metazoa; Chordata; Mammalia; Primates; Hominidae.